CGGAGGUAGGGUCCAGCGGCUGGAA
This 25-nucleotide non-coding RNA is filed under the name Arabidopsis thaliana (thale cress). Lineage: Eukaryota; Viridiplantae; Streptophyta; Magnoliopsida; Brassicales; Brassicaceae. The record is from RNAcentral. RNAcentral also lists the same sequence under 1 other name.